Molecule: ribosomal RNA, 455 nt
Filed under: Salmonella enterica subsp. enterica serovar Typhimurium
Lineage: Bacteria; Pseudomonadati; Pseudomonadota; Gammaproteobacteria; Enterobacterales; Enterobacteriaceae
Description: partial 23S ribosomal RNA
Rfam family: Bacterial large subunit ribosomal RNA
Source: RNAcentral
CAGGUUUACCUGUGUGACUGCGUACCUUUUGUAUAAUGGGUCAGCGACUUAUAUUCUGUAGCAAGGUUAACCGUAUAGGGGAGCCGUAGGGAAACCGAGUCUUAACCGGGCGUUAAGUUGCAGGGUAUAGACCCGAAACCCGGUGAUCUAGCCAUGGGCAGGUUGAAGGUUGGGUAACACUAACUGGAGGACCGAACCGACUAAUGUUGAAAAAUUAGCGGAUGACCUGUGGCUGGGGGUGAAAGGCCAAUCAAACCGGGAGAUAGCUGGUUCUCCCCGAAAGCUAUUUAGGUAGCGCCUCGUGAAUUCAUCUCCGGGGGUAGAGCACUGUUUCGGCUAGGGGGCCAUCCCGGCUUACCAACCCGAUGCAAACUGCGAAUACCGGAGAAUGUUAUCACGGGAGACACACGGCGGGUGCUAACGUCCGUCGUGAAGAGGGAAACAACCCAGACCGC